Molecule: long non-coding RNA, 477 nt
Organism: Rosa chinensis
Lineage: Eukaryota; Viridiplantae; Streptophyta; Magnoliopsida; Rosales; Rosaceae
Exons: 3
Source: RefSeq, a predicted model, not a curated record
CAACUCACUUUGCAUGUUCUUGUGUAUAAGUUGUCAGUUGAGAUAUCAACAAGCGGGAGUGGCCGUUAUUAAAUAUUUCAUAACCACAACGUGUAGCGAACGGAAAUUUGAAAUUUCGUUCAUGUAGCCUCGACAAAGUCACUAAACGCUCUGGCCAAAAUCUGUGCUUAUCUACCGCCACCAAAGGCAAGGCUCUCGUCCUAGUCGAAGCCUUCACAAUGUUCGACGGCAUCGGAGCCACCUAGUCGUUUCAGACAGGCAGUCCUUCCCUCCCGCCAUCAACUCUCUCAAGCGUCUCUCAAAUCAGCUCGCUUCUCUGUCUUUGAUUCCCAAGAAGAUCAGCUCGCUUUUCUCUGCACAUUACUCCCUUCGGUUCCUGCAAUGCUCCUCCGAUUCUAAUUACAGGCUGACCAAGUUGAGUUGGAGUCAUUGGUGGUUGAAUUAGAUGAGGAGAAUGAGCGGCUUUUGAAAGAGAAG